This 244-nucleotide long non-coding RNA is filed under the name Olea europaea (common olive). RNAcentral's name for it is "long non-coding RNA (OEUR_LNC003521)". The record is from RNAcentral. Lineage: Eukaryota; Viridiplantae; Streptophyta; Magnoliopsida; Lamiales; Oleaceae.
ACGCAUCAGCCUUUGAAUCUCCAGGAUUUGGACCAGUUUUGAGAAGAUGAUUCAACUUUCCUUUUCCUUUCAGAAAGGUUUUCACAACUUGGGACCACUUCAGAUAAUUCUUUCCAUCAAGUUUGUAAGCAACAAGAAUGCUUUGCAAUUCUACACUAGAAUACUUUGAAGUCACUUCUUCAGAUUGAACUGCCAUAGUUAUCUCAGACAUGGUAAGGCGACGAAGAAAGAGUAGGAUUAGAAA